RNAcentral lists this ribosomal RNA (253 nucleotides) under uncultured bacterium. RNAcentral describes it as "partial 16S ribosomal RNA". It matches the Rfam family "Bacterial small subunit ribosomal RNA", at positions 524 to 776 of the family's 1533-position model. The record is from RNAcentral.
UACGUAGGGGGCAAGCGUUGUCCGGAUUUAUUGGGCGUAAAGAGCGUGUAGGCGGCCAGAAAAGUCCGCUGUGAAAACUCGAGGCUCAACCUCGAGACGUCGGCGGAAACCAUCUGGCUAGAGUCCGGAAGAGGAGAGUGGAAUUCCUGGUGUAGCGGUGAAAUGCGCAGAUAUCAGGAAGAACACCCGUGGCGAAGGCGGCUCUCUGGGACGGUACUGACGCUGAGACGCGAAAGCGUGGGGAGCGAACAGG